This 301-nucleotide ribosomal RNA is filed under the name uncultured bacterium. Its description in RNAcentral is "partial 16S ribosomal RNA". It matches the Rfam family "Bacterial small subunit ribosomal RNA", at positions 509 to 807 of the family's 1533-position model. The record is from RNAcentral.
CAGUAGCCGCGGGAAUACGAAGGGGGCUAGCGUUGUUCGGAAUUACUGGGCGUAAAGCGCACGUAGGCGGAUCGAUCAGUCAGGGGUGAAAUCCCAGGGCUCAACCCUGGAACUGCCUUUGAUACUGUCGAUCUGGAGUAUGGAAGAGGUGAGUGGAAUUCCGAGUGUAGAGGUGAAAUUCGUAGAUAUUCGGAGGAACACCAGUGGCGAAGGCGGCUCACUGGUCCAUUACUGACGCUGAGGUGCGAAAGCGUGGGGAGCAAACAGGAUUAGAUACCCCCGUAGUCCCUGUCUCUUAUAC